RNAcentral lists this transfer RNA (85 nucleotides) under Felis catus (domestic cat). It matches the Rfam family "tRNA". From Rfam's summary of the family: Transfer RNA (tRNA) molecules are approximately 80 nucleotides in length. RNAcentral also lists the same sequence under 3 other names. The record is from Rfam by way of RNAcentral. Lineage: Eukaryota; Metazoa; Chordata; Mammalia; Carnivora; Felidae.
GCCUGGGUGGCUCAGUUGGUUGAGCGUCUGACUUUGGCUCAGGUCAUGAUCUUGUGGUUCAUGGGUUCAAGUCCCAUAUUGGGCU